GCAGUAGCCGCGGUAAUACAGAGGGUGCAAGCGUUAAUCGGAUUUACUGGGCGUAAAGGGCGCGUAGGUGGUUAUUUAAGUGAGAUGUGAAAUCCCCGGGCUUAACCUGGGAACUGCAUCUUAUACUGGGUAACUGGAGUGCAGUAGAGGGUAGUGGAAUUUCCGGUGUAGCGGUGAAAUGCGUAGAUAUCGGAAGGAACACCAGUGGCGAAGGCGGCUACCUGGACUGAGACUGACACUGAGGCGCGAGAGCGUGGGGAGCAAACAGGAUUAGAUACCCGCGUAGUCCCUGUCUCUUAUAA
This 302-nucleotide ribosomal RNA is filed under the name uncultured bacterium. RNAcentral's name for it is "partial 16S ribosomal RNA". It matches the Rfam family "Bacterial small subunit ribosomal RNA", at positions 508 to 809 of the family's 1533-position model. The record is from RNAcentral.